AUUGAACGCUGGCGGCAGGCCUAACACAUGCAAGUCGAACGGUAACAGGAAGAAGCUUGCUUCUUUGCUGACGAGUGGCGGACGGGUGAGUAAUGUCUGGGAAACUGCCUGAUGGGGGGGGAUAACUACUGGAAACGGUAGCUAAUACCGCAUAACGUCGCAAGACCAAAGAGGGGGACCUUCGGGCCUCUUGCCAUCGGAUGUGCCCAGAUGGGAUUAGCUUGUUGGUGGGGUAACGGCUCACCAAGGCGACGAUCCCUAGCUGGUCUGAGAGGAUGACCAGCCACACUGGAACUGAGACACGGUCCAGACUCCUACGGGAGGCAGCAGUGGGGAAUAUUGCACAAUGGGCGCAAGCCUGAUGCAGCCAUGCCGCGUGUAUGAAGAAGGCCUUCGGGUUGUAAAGUACUUUCAGCGGGGAGGAAGGGAGUAAAGUUAAUACCUUUGCUCAUUGACGUUACCCGCAGAAGAAGCACCGGCUAACUCCGUG
This 490-nucleotide ribosomal RNA is filed under the name uncultured bacterium. Its description in RNAcentral is "partial 16S ribosomal RNA". It matches the Rfam family "Bacterial small subunit ribosomal RNA", at positions 30 to 507 of the family's 1533-position model. The record is from RNAcentral.